Salvia splendens (bonfire salvia) is the source of this 1050-nucleotide long non-coding RNA. RefSeq lists it as uncharacterized. The transcript is spliced from 6 exons. The record is from RefSeq and is a predicted model, not a curated record. Lineage: Eukaryota; Viridiplantae; Streptophyta; Magnoliopsida; Lamiales; Lamiaceae.
GGCGUUUCUGAAAUCCACACAGAUAGACUACCAAUGCCGCAGACUUAGUCUGGUGUUGGGCUCACAGACUGGAAUGAAGCUUUAAAAAUCAUAGAAUAUGGUUCUCCUGAACAGGGUAGGGGGUAAUGAUGAGGAAUAUUUUUCAAUGGAAUGCUUUUCGGAAGAUUAGGCUGAUGAUGGCAUGAAAGCUAACAGAUAUGAGUUUGGAAGAGAUUUGGAGCAGAUUAGGAUCCCUUAUUGAUUCAGAGACGAUUACUCAACUAAAAAGUGUUGUGUGGAAAGAGCAGCUUGAAGGGAGAACUAUGGCGUUUCUGAAAUCCACACAGAUAGACUACCAAUGCCGCAGACUUAGUCUGGUGUUGGGCUCACAGACUGGAAUGAAGCUUUAAAAAUCAUAGAAUAUGGUUCUCCUGAACAGGGUAGGGGGUAAUGAUGAGGAAUAUUUUUCAAUGGAAUGCUUUUCGGAAGAUUAGGCUGUUGAAGGGAUGAAAGGUGUGCUAUGAAUUGCAAAUGCUGAUCCCAAGAGAUGUUUAGGUGCUGCAUCUAGAAAUCUAAAUUUUUUACAUAACUUCUUUGUUGUUACCGACUACUUGGACUACUGAACUUAACGUAAGAAUGGUCUGUUGAGAAGGUCCUGCAACAAGUUAUUUAUAUUGUCACCCAUAUUGCUGCGACAGCAUCAAAGUCUCCUAAAGAAUGUGUUGUGCUUUUCCUUUCAGGUAUCACUCAAAGAGGAGCCGACAUAAAGACUCGUGCUCAAGCCAUGAAGUGUGUUUAACAUCAAACAUCUAAACCCCUCAAAAGUUGUCUUAUUAUUUUUUUUUGCAUUUUUAUUUAUCGUGUGCAUAAUGAGUGUAGUAUGUGCCACCUAAGUGUAGUGUAUCUAGUGUGUUUAAAGUUCGUGGAGUGUGUAUAUUUUUGUAUAGUGCGUAUAUGUUUGUAAAGUGUUUGUAGUGUGUAUGUUUGUUGUAGUGUGAUUGUAUUGUGUGUGUAAUAUAGUGUCUGGAUUUUGUGAGUGUAUAUUAUGUGUAACGUAGCGUGUUUUGUGUA